GCACUGAGGAGUCCCACAAUAGGACGAAACGGCCGUCCAGUAC
This 43-nucleotide non-coding RNA is filed under the name Schistosoma mansoni. The record is from RNAcentral. Lineage: Eukaryota; Metazoa; Platyhelminthes; Trematoda; Strigeidida; Schistosomatidae.